RNAcentral lists this ribosomal RNA (301 nucleotides) under uncultured bacterium. RNAcentral describes it as "partial 16S ribosomal RNA". It matches the Rfam family "Bacterial small subunit ribosomal RNA", at positions 509 to 807 of the family's 1533-position model. The record is from RNAcentral.
CAGUAGCCGCGGUAAUACGUAGGGUGCAAGCGUUAAUCGGAAUUACUGGGCGUAAAGUGUGCGUAGGUGGUGGUUUAAGUCCGUUGUGAAAGCCCUGGGCUCAGCCUGGGAAUUGCAGUGGAUACUGGGUCACUAGAGUGUGGUAGAGGAUAGUGGAAUUUCCGGUGUAGCAGUGAAAUGCGUAGAGAUCGGAAGGAACACCGGUGGCGAAGGCGGCAACCUGGCUCAUUACUGACGCUGAGGCGCGAAAGCGUGGGGAGCAAACAGGAUUAGAUACCCGCGUAGUCCCUGUCUCUUAUAC